AGAGAAAGGGAGAGAGUGGGUGAUGGAGGAGGAGCACGUGUCCUGGAGAAACCGCAAGACAAUGCUGUAUUAAGAACAUCAGUCUGCUGCUUCAAGUACUGCACAGCAUGUACAGGGAAAAGGGAAAUCCUGCCUUAAAGGCACCAACUGCAUGGAAAAGCUUUUUAUUAAUUUCACAGUUCUUCAUAAUGAAAUGUACUCAAUUCGCACCUACCAAAAUUUGAGCUUGGCUUCAAAGUCUACUUCAAAUAGGGUCAUCAGCUGGAAGAAAGACAGACGGGCAGAAAUGAGUAGAUGUGAGGUUGCAAGAAGAUUGGCUCAUCUCUUCUGAAGGCAACACACAAGGACAGACUAGCUGGAGAUAAUAUGCUAGACUGAAUACAGGUCUCUCUGAUGUGGUAGACCUUUUCACUAAAUAGGUAUAUCAAGAAAAGUCAUUUCUAGUAGGAUAAUCUUUACAUCUAAAAAUAUGUAGUCGCUUU
This 482-nucleotide long non-coding RNA is filed under the name Mus pahari (shrew mouse). Its description in RNAcentral is "predicted gene 4128 (MGP_PahariEiJ_G0002870.1)". Lineage: Eukaryota; Metazoa; Chordata; Mammalia; Rodentia; Muridae. The record is from RNAcentral.